Molecule: transfer RNA, 67 nt
Filed under: Scythris sinensis
Lineage: Eukaryota; Metazoa; Arthropoda; Insecta; Lepidoptera; Scythrididae
Description: tRNA-Ile
Source: RNAcentral
AAUAAAGUGCCUGAAAAAGGAUUAUUCUGAUAGAGUAAAUUAUGUAAUUUUAUAGUUACCUUUAUUA